CAACAAAGGAUUGUUUUCCCCUUCUAUUUCUGAUUAAAAAUUUCCGUCAAACACAAUCCCUUGAACGCACUACCAGUUCAAAUUCUUCAAAUAAUCCAUCAAAUCGAUUGAAAUCGAUCAAUUAAGCAUCCAUAUUCAUUCAAAAUAUACCAAAAUAAAAUAAAAAAAUUCAAGGCUCAAUCUUCUACAAAACCCUCGUAUUAACAUAUUUCAAGCUCUUGCUAUUUCGAUUUCUUCUAAACGAUGGUUUAAUUAUUCUCAUAUGCUUGAUUCAGGAUAUAACUUCUGUCAAGCCGAAGUAAAACGUGUCCUAAUCAAAACAAAGUAUUUUCCUGAAGAACAUUGUGUUUCAGAAAUACAGGCUUAGAUGCCGAUGUUUUGGUCAAGGCAUCUGGAUCCCAGGAAGGAUACAUUCAGUUACAUUCAGUUAUCGUGUUUCCAUUUCCAACAAUUCAAUCUCCACCACUUCUAUUGGACAGAGUUCGGGAAGAUGGAAGGUAUAUCUAUAGAUACCUUCGAACUGUUCGACAAAAUUCCCAAGAGAGUCUUUCCUCGCUUUCUUGGUUCAUUGCUGUAAAAAAAGUGGUGGAUGAAAAGGGUAGUCACACAAACACUGUGCUUGAUCUGCAUUGGAACAAGAAACUCAAGAAGGGAACUUCCUUUGGUGGAAUCAACUCACAUGUACCAUGGCUUGUUGAAAACUACGUGAAGAAGAAAUAUUAGCUGCAGCUCGUCAAGUGGACAAAAUCCUUCGAAUCAUUGGAGAUUUGACUUAUACUGAAAAAUUGUUUUGCACAGUAACAUACUUGUAGGAAACAUUCCAUCCGAGUUGGGAAACAUGACUAGGAUUCAUUACUUCUUUAUAGGAAAUCUCAGUGUAAAGGCAAGGACUUCGGGCUCCAAUACCUUAUGGCCUUCUUAUGCAUUGCAUUGGGUGCCCUUGUUCUAUUUCUCCUUAUCUUGUUAGUAGCAUUUCGAUCACACAAUCCAAAACCUUUUGCAGAAGGGUUGCCUGAAAAACCAGAUACUUUUUCAUCAAAUAAACAACAUUGAUCCCUGUUAGGGGCUAAUAAAGCGUACUUAUUUCUUA
Papaver somniferum (opium poppy) is the source of this 1090-nucleotide long non-coding RNA. RefSeq lists it as uncharacterized. The record is from RefSeq and is a predicted model, not a curated record. Lineage: Eukaryota; Viridiplantae; Streptophyta; Magnoliopsida; Ranunculales; Papaveraceae. The transcript has 7 exons.